UCGCCCGUGCUCCAGAAUAGCUCUUGGAAACGGGUGGUAAUGCUGGAUGCUCCAACUUGACGCAUGUCUUGUUGGGGAAAAGUGUUUAGUGGCAUGGGGAUGGGGUCGCGUCCUAUCAGCUUGUAAGCGGGGUAAUGGCCCACCUAGGCUUCGACGGGUAGCCGGCCUGAGAGGGCGGACGGCCACAUUGGGACUGAGAUACGGCCCAGACUCCUACGGGAGGCAGCAGUGGGGAAUAUUGCGCAAUGGGGAAAACCCUGACGCAGCGACGCCGCGUGCGGGAUGAAGGCCUUCGGGGUUGUAAACCGCUUUUGAUUGGGGAGCAAGCCUUUUGGGGUGAGUGUACCUUUCGAAUAAGCGCCGGGCUAACUACGUGCCCAGCAGCCGCGGGUAAAUA
This 397-nucleotide ribosomal RNA is filed under the name uncultured Gardnerella sp. Its description in RNAcentral is "bacterial SSU rRNA". It matches the Rfam family "Bacterial small subunit ribosomal RNA", at positions 127 to 525 of the family's 1533-position model. Lineage: Bacteria; Bacillati; Actinomycetota; Actinomycetes; Bifidobacteriales; Bifidobacteriaceae. The record is from RNAcentral.